AGAGUUUGAUCAUGGCUCAGGAUGAACGCUGGGGGCGUGCCUAACACAUGCAAGUCGAGCGAUUUAUUUCGGUAAAGAGCGGCGGACGGGUGAGUAACGCGUGGGUAACCUGCCCUGUACACACGGAUAACAUACCGAAAGGUAUGCUAAUACGAGAUAAUAUGUUUUUAUCGCAUGGUAGAAGUAUCAAAGCUUUUGCGGUACAGGAUGGACCCGCGUCUGAUUAGCUAGUUGGUAAGGUAACGGCUUACCAAGGCGACGAUCAGUAGCCGACCUGAGAGGGUGAUCGGCCACAUUGGAACUGAGACACGGUCCAAACUCCUACGGGAGGCAGCAGUGGGGAAUAUUGCACAAUGGGCGAAAGCCUGAUGCAGCAACGCCGCGUGAGCGAUGAAGGCCUUCGGGUCGUAAAGCUCUGUCCUCAAGGAAGAUAAUGACGGUACUUGAGGAGGAAGCCCCGGCUAACUACGUGCCAGCAGCCGCGGUAAUACGUAGGGGGCUAGCGUUAUCCGG
Molecule: ribosomal RNA, 513 nt
Filed under: uncultured bacterium
Lineage: Bacteria
Description: bacterial SSU rRNA
Rfam family: Bacterial small subunit ribosomal RNA
Source: RNAcentral